AAAGAAACCAACAGGGAUUGCCCUAGUAACGGCGAGUGAAGCGGCAACAGCUCAAAUUUGAAAUCUGGCUACUUCGUAGUCCGAGUUGUAAUUUGUAGAGGAUGCUUUUGGUGAAGUGCUUUCUGAGUUCCCUGGAACGGGACGCCAGAGAGGGUGAGAGCCCCGUACAGUUAGCAACUGAUCCUUUGUAUAGCUCCUUCGACGAGUCGAGUAGUUUGGGAAUGCUGCUCUAAAUGGGAGGUAUAUCUCUUCUAAAGCUAAAUAUAGGCUAGAGACCGAUAGCGCACAAGUAGAGUGAUCGAAAGAUGAAAAGCACUUUGAAAAGAGAGUUAAACAGCACGUGAAAUUGUUGAAAGGGAAGCGCCUAUGACCAGACUUGUCUCUAUCAGUUUUGGUAGUUUUCGGACUGCUUUACUCUGUUAGUACAGGCCAACAUCAGUUUGUUGUCGGGGAGAAAGGCUUAGGGAAUGUGGCUCCUUCGGGAGUGUUAUAGCCCUUUGCAUAAUACCCUUCGGCAGACUGAGGACCGCGCUUCGGCAAGGAUGUUGGCGUAAUGGUCAUCAGCGACCCGUCUUGAAACACGGACCAAGGAGUCAACCUUAUAUGCGAGUGUUUGGGUGUAAAACCCCAGCGCGUAAUGAACGUGAACGUAGGUGAGAGCUUCGGCGCAUCAUCGACCGAUUCUGAUGUUCUCGGAUGGAUUUGAGUAAGAGCAUAUAGGGUUGGACCCGAAAGAAGGUGAACUAUGCUUGUAUAGGGUGAAGCCAGAGGAAACUCUGGUGGAGGCUCGCAGCGGUUCUGACGUGCAAAUCGAUCGUCAAAUAUGAGCAUGGGGGCGAAAGACUAAUCGAACCUUCUAGUAGCUGGUUCCAGCCGAAGUUUCCCUCAGGAUAGCAGUGUUGAACUUCAGUUUUAUGAGGUAAAGCGAAUGAUUAGGGACUCGGGGGCGCUAUAUUGCCUUCAUCCAUUCUCAAACUUUAAAUAUGUAAGAAGCUCUUGUUACUUAAUUGAACGUGAGCAUUCGAAUGUAUCAAC
RNAcentral lists this ribosomal RNA (1035 nucleotides) under Catunica adiposa. RNAcentral describes it as "LSU rRNA". It matches the Rfam family "Eukaryotic large subunit ribosomal RNA", at positions 58 to 1121 of the family's 3401-position model. The record is from RNAcentral. Lineage: Eukaryota; Fungi; Ascomycota; Sordariomycetes; Microascales; Ceratocystidaceae.